AUGAAGGACCUUGCUGAGGUGCGCUCUGAGGAGCUGCAUCUACGCAGCACGGGCUUGUUGCCGUCCUCUUCAGCAGUCCUGGCUGCCCACACUACACCCUUGCUGCAAGGUGGGCCUUCUACACCGGUGGCAGCAGCCUCCAAUAGAGCCUUCAGCACCUACUGGAAGCAGGAUGGUCACAUGAUCAUGGAGUGCAUUAAGAGGAAGAGACAGGGUCGUAGCCGUCCUCACAAGGACUCAGGAGGCUCCUCUGAUUCUCGUGACGACUCCCUUGAGAAGGUUCACCAAGAGAUGCUCACCUUGCUGCGCCACCUUGCUGCUUCUGCACCAUCCUGA
Molecule: ribosomal RNA, 336 nt
Filed under: Triticum aestivum (bread wheat)
Lineage: Eukaryota; Viridiplantae; Streptophyta; Magnoliopsida; Poales; Poaceae
Description: partial small subunit ribosomal RNA
Source: RNAcentral